GAGUUUGAUCCUGGCUCAGAUUGAACGCUGGCGGCAUGCUUUACACAUGCAAGUCGAACGGUAACAGGUCUUCGGAUGCUGACGAGUGGCGAACGGGUGAGUAAUACAUCGGAACGUGCCUAGUAGUGGGGGAUAACUACUCGAAAGAGUAGCUAAUACCGCAUGAGAUCUACGGAUGAAAGCAGGGGACCUUCGGGCCUUGUGCUACUAGAGCGGCUGAUGGCAGAUUAGGUAGUUGGUGGGGUAAAGGCUUACCAAGCCUGCGAUCUGUAGCUGGUCUGAGAGGACGACCAGCCACACUGGGACUGAGACACGGCCCAGACUCCUACGGGAGGCAGCAGUGGGGAAUUUUGGACAAUGGGCGAAAGCCUGAUCCAGCAAUGCCGCGUGCAGGAUGAAGGCCCUCGGGUUGUAAACUGCUUUUGUACGGAACGAAAAGUCUCUUUCUAAUAAAGAGGGAAUCAUGACGGUACCGUAAGAAUAAAGCACCGGCU
This 494-nucleotide ribosomal RNA is filed under the name uncultured beta proteobacterium. Its description in RNAcentral is "bacterial SSU rRNA". It matches the Rfam family "Bacterial small subunit ribosomal RNA", at positions 9 to 498 of the family's 1533-position model. The record is from RNAcentral. RNAcentral also lists the same sequence under 1 other name. Lineage: Bacteria; Pseudomonadati; Pseudomonadota; Betaproteobacteria.